CCUACGGGUGGCAGCAGUGAGGAAUAUUGGUCAAUGGGCGCGAGCCUGAACCAGCCAAGUAGCGUGAAGGAUGACUGCCCUACGGGUUGUACACUUCUUUUAUCAAGGAAUAAUGUGAGGCACGUGUGCCUUUUUGUAUGUACUUUAUGAAUAAGGAUCGGCUAACUCCGUGCCAGCAGCCGCGGUAAUACGGAGGAUCCGUGCGUUGUCCGGAGUUAUUUGGUUUAAAGGGUGCGUAGGCGGGGAGGUAAGUCAGCGGUGAAAUGCCCCCGCGCAACGGGGUGAAGUGCCAUUGAUACUGCCUUGCUGGAAUGCGCAUGCAGUAGGAGGAAUGUGUGGUGUAGCGGUGAAAUGCAUAGAUAUCACACAGAACACCGAUUGCGAAGGCAUCUCACGAAUCCGCGAUUGACGCUGAUGCACGAAAGCGUGGGUAUCAAACAGGAUUAGAUACCCUGGUAGUC
Molecule: ribosomal RNA, 461 nt
Filed under: uncultured bacterium
Lineage: Bacteria
Description: partial 16S ribosomal RNA
Rfam family: Bacterial small subunit ribosomal RNA
Source: RNAcentral